CAACCCUCAAGCUCUGCUUGGUAUUGGGCCUCCGCUGCUUACCCGGCGGGCCUUAAAAUGAGUGGCGGUGCCGCUGAGGCCUUGAGCGUAGUAAUACUCCUCGCUAUAAGGACCCGGUGGACGCUUGCCAGCAACCCCCAACUUUCUAA
This 149-nucleotide unclassified non-coding RNA is filed under the name uncultured Helotiales. Its description in RNAcentral is "sequence contains ITS2". Lineage: Eukaryota; Fungi; Ascomycota; Leotiomycetes; Helotiales. The record is from RNAcentral.